This 405-nucleotide ribosomal RNA is filed under the name uncultured bacterium. RNAcentral describes it as "partial 16S ribosomal RNA". It matches the Rfam family "Bacterial small subunit ribosomal RNA", at positions 29 to 526 of the family's 1533-position model. The record is from RNAcentral.
AUUGAACGCUGGCGGCGUGCUUAACACAUGCAAGUCGAGCGGAGCGGCGAACGGGUGAGUAACGAGUGAGUAACUGCCCACCUCUCUGGGAUAACAGAUGGAAACGGCUGCUAAUACCGGAUAGUGGGGGCUGGAUCGCGUCCUAUCAGCUUGUUGGUGAGGUAGUGGCCUACCAAGGCGACGACGGGUAGCCGGCCUAAGGGGGCGACGGGCAACAUUGGGCUGAGAUACGUCCCAAACUCCUACGGGAGGCAGCGGUGUGGAAUCUUGCACAAUGGUGGAAACCCUGAGGCAGCAACGCCGCGUGCGGGAUGACGGCCAUCGGGUUGUGAACCGCUUUCAGCCAUGACGCGGUAGUGGCAGAAGAAGCACCGGCUAACUACGUGCCAGCCGCCGCGGUAAUAC